CUAUCCGUGAAAAGAAGCGAGCCAGAAGGAAUAGCAGAGGCUCUUGCUUUCACCAGGGCACCUUGCAGCCCAGUGGUGAGCUUGCCCUGCCUUGGAUCCCAGUAGCAUGUUGGGAACACUCAGAAGAAAUAACAUACUCUUCAUGUGAGCCAGCUCCUUCACUUUUGCUGCCCUGGUUCUCCUAGGCUCAGAUUUGUGUUGUCUGGAUCCUGUCAACAGGAAGGCUUUCUGAGCUGGUCUGUUUUUUGGCUGGCUUGGCUAACGGUGCUAUUGAAGCAAGAAGAUGAAGCAGCGUCCUGUGAAACAGCAGAGGUGGGAGCAGUGUCCUGAGGAAGGAAGCUGAAAUGUGAAUAGGCAUCGCAUCCCAUAUAAAUUGUCUCUUGGCAGGGCUGUGAAGGUAAGUUUGCGUUUCUGUUAACCCUGUUCUUCUUCGAUGGAUUUAUAUGAGGCUACAGUCUUUAGGGAUGUUACUUCAGCCUUUAAAUGACAAGAUUGGUUGUCUUUCAUUUCUGAAGACCAAGGGGAAAUAGAGGAAAAGGUGCUGAAGAAGUUCCCACACAGAGGUGACUUGGGGAUACCUGAGAUUAAAA
RNAcentral lists this long non-coding RNA (590 nucleotides) under Anas platyrhynchos platyrhynchos (common mallard). RNAcentral describes it as "lncRNA (ENSAPLG00000016749.1)". The record is from RNAcentral. Lineage: Eukaryota; Metazoa; Chordata; Aves; Anseriformes; Anatidae.